ACGGGAGGCAGCAGUGAGGAAUAUUGGUCAAUGGACGAGAGUCUGAACCAGCCAAGUGGCGUGCAGGAUGACGGCCCUAUGGGUUGUAAACUGCUUUUGUACGGGAAUAAAGUGACCUACGUGUAGGUUUUUGCAUGUACCGUAAGAAUAAGGACCGGCUAAUUCCGUGCCAGCAGCCGCGGUAAUACGGAAGGUCCGGGCGUUAUCCGGAUUUAUUGGGUUUAAAGGGAGCGUAGGCGGCCUUUUAAGCGUGUUGUGAAAUGUCCCGGCUCAACCGUGGCACUGCAGCGCGAACUGGAGGGCUUGAGUGCGCCGGAAGUAGGCGGAAUUCGUUGUGUAGCGGUGAAAUGCUUAGAUAUGACGAAGAACUCCGAUUGCGAAGGCAGCUUACUGUCGCGUAACUGACGCUGAAGCUCGAAAGUGCGGGUAUCGAACAGGAUUAGAUACCCUGGUA
This 454-nucleotide ribosomal RNA is filed under the name uncultured Prevotella sp. Its description in RNAcentral is "bacterial SSU rRNA". It matches the Rfam family "Bacterial small subunit ribosomal RNA", at positions 341 to 792 of the family's 1533-position model. The record is from RNAcentral. Lineage: Bacteria; Pseudomonadati; Bacteroidota; Bacteroidia; Bacteroidales; Prevotellaceae.